AGCGAACGCUGGCGGCGGGCCUAACACAUGCAAGUCGAACGAAGUCUUCGGACUUAGUGGCGGACGGGUGAGUAACACGUGGGAACGUACCUUUUGGUUCGGAACAACUCAGGGAAACUUGAGCUAAUACCGGAUGAGCCCUUAGGGGGAAAGAUUUAUCGCCGAAAGAGCGGCCCGCGUUAGAUUAGCUAGUUGGUGAGGUAAAGGCUCACCAAGGCUACGAUCUAUAGCUGGUCUGAGAGGAUGAUCAGCCACACGGGGACUGAGACACGGCCCAGACUCCUACGGGAGGCAGCAGUGGGGAAUCUUGCGCAAUGGGCGAAAGCCUGACGCAGCCAUGCCGCGUGAAUGAUGAAGGUCUUAGGAUUGUAAAAUUCUUUUACCGGGGACGAUAAUGACGGUACCUGGAGAAAAAGCCCCGGCUAACUUCGUGCCAGCCGCCGCCAUAA
RNAcentral lists this ribosomal RNA (449 nucleotides) under uncultured bacterium. RNAcentral's name for it is "partial 16S ribosomal RNA". It matches the Rfam family "Bacterial small subunit ribosomal RNA", at positions 29 to 523 of the family's 1533-position model. The record is from RNAcentral.